Molecule: small nuclear RNA, 121 nt
Organism: Salvia splendens (bonfire salvia)
Lineage: Eukaryota; Viridiplantae; Streptophyta; Magnoliopsida; Lamiales; Lamiaceae
Product: U5 spliceosomal RNA
Exons: 1
Source: RefSeq, a predicted model, not a curated record
CAGCCGAGCGUUGAGCAUAUACCGAACUAUUCUUUCGCCUUUUACUAAAGAAUACCGUGUGCUCGUCGCUUAUAAGUGGCAUAUACUUCUUUUUGUUUUUUGGAAGGGUGUGUUCAUGCAA